This 254-nucleotide ribosomal RNA is filed under the name uncultured bacterium. RNAcentral's name for it is "partial 16S ribosomal RNA". It matches the Rfam family "Bacterial small subunit ribosomal RNA", at positions 524 to 776 of the family's 1533-position model. The record is from RNAcentral.
CACGUAGGGGGCAAGCGUUGUCCGGAUGUAUUGGGCGUAAAGAGCUCGUAGGCGGUUCGGUAAGUCGGGGGUGAAACCUCCAGGCUCAACCUGGAGACGCCACCUGAUACUGCUGUGACUCGAGUCCGGUAGGGGAGCGUGGAAUUCCUGGUGUAGCGGUGAAAUGCGCAGAUAUCAGGAGGAACCCCAGCGGCGAAGGCGGCGCUCUGGGCCGGAACUGACGCUGAGGAGCGAAAGCGUGGGUAGCAAACAGG